RNAcentral lists this ribosomal RNA (253 nucleotides) under uncultured bacterium. RNAcentral's name for it is "partial 16S ribosomal RNA". It matches the Rfam family "Bacterial small subunit ribosomal RNA", at positions 524 to 776 of the family's 1533-position model. The record is from RNAcentral.
UACGUAGGGGGCAAGCGUUGUCCGGAAUCAUUGGGCGUAAAGCGUGCGCAGGCGGUUCGUUGUGUCGGUGGUGAAAGCCCCGGGCUUAACCUGGGAAUGGCCAUGGAAACUGGCGAACUGGAGUGUGGCAGAGGGGGGUGGAAUUCCGGGUGUAGUGGUGAAAUGCGUAGAGAUCCGGAGGAACCCCAGAGGCGAAGGCGGCGCCCUGGCUCGCAACUGACGCUCAGACACGACAGCAUGGGGAGCGAACGCG